RNAcentral lists this transfer RNA (76 nucleotides) under Thermoplasmata archaeon. RNAcentral's name for it is "tRNA-Gly". It matches the Rfam family "tRNA". Rfam says of the family: Transfer RNA (tRNA) molecules are approximately 80 nucleotides in length. Their secondary structure includes four short double-helical elements and three loops (D, anti-codon, and T loops). The record is from RNAcentral. Lineage: Archaea; Methanobacteriati; Thermoplasmatota; Thermoplasmata. RNAcentral also lists the same sequence under 2 other names.
GCGGGUGUGAUGUAGCCUGGUAUCAUUCUAGCUUGCCAAGCUAGUUACUCGGGUUCAAAUCCCGGCACCCGCACCA